AUCUUAGUUCCCUCACCAGGGAUCAAACCCAUGCACCCUGAAUUGGAAGCACGGUGUCUUAACCACUGGACUGCCAGGAAAGUCCCCUGAGAACCAGUUUUAAUGAGAUGCUUCUUGCUAACUCCAUUAGCUAUCUGGCAAUAUGAAGCUGUCUACAAGAAGACAAAUCACAAGGAAAUAGUACUUUCUGAAUGGGGUCAGUUUCUUUAUCUGCUGGGACCAGAGUCAACCCCUUUCCCAGCUGAAGUUACUCUGAGCCAAAAGAAGCAGCCUCUCUGUCCUUAUGUGGAAACUUCUCCAUAGCCCGUGAAAUGGGUCUGAGCCUUAUGGCCAUGACUGCUGCACUUCUAUUUAUUAUCAGAAUUGGAUGCUGAACAUUUUCUUCUUGCUCCUGUUGGCUAAGAGCAGCCCUACCGCCUCCUUAUAACUGAGCCAGUUACCUGCCAGGACAGUGAUGCCUUGCCUUGCCUACUGUUCUCUUGACACAAGGAGUCAAAAGUAACCCCCUGCCAGCCAUAGUUAAAAAUUUAAUGGGAACCUUGCUGGGUCCUCUGUUGGAAGCCCUUCUCUCUGAAAAACAGAACCCUUAAAUCCAUAAAGCUCAGAGUUAUGGGCAUGGGAAACAUAAAUUUCACAAGUGGGUGGCUAGGAGUGAUGGUGAGUGGGUGAUUCCUAAUUCUGCCCCUUGGUUUCUGGACCCAUGUAUUCUACCUACUGAAGACACAGCACUAUGUUACAGCAGUUUGUUUACAGCUUUCAAAUUUUUAGUCUCAGGACUCCUUUAUACUCUUAAAAAUUAUUGAGGACCCCCACAGAGCUUUUGUUUAUGUGGGUGAUAACUAUUAAUAUUGUAUUAGAAUUCAAAACUGAGAACAUUUUGAAAUGCUUCUUUUCAUUUGAAGAUAACAGUGAGGAACACACAGCAGGUUAACAGAAAUAACAUCUUAGCAUAAUUAUUACGAAAUUACUUUUGACCUGGUGGAACUCUGAGAUCCAUCCUAAAAUGUCAUAUUGUUCCAGAAUAUGAAGGAGAAUGAUAAGGGACAAAAUUUGGUAAGUGAAUUUUACUUGCUUUGGCUUGUAACACUUGAAUCUUAAAAGAAGCUAUGGAAUGUGUUAAAAUGUUGGUAAAGUUUGAUCCAGUUUUAUGGGCUUUGCCUCCUUGAUUAACUGAUGAAUGCCUUUGCCAACAAUAUGAAGGGUUAUUCUUCACUUUCUGUGUAAUCUACCUUCAUAGCAAAAAUACUUUAUGUUAGCUUUGUUAUAUCCUUGAUUAUUUAGGAAAAAAGAAUCUCAGUUAUAAAAGAAGUUACAUAUACUUUAUAAUCAUUUUACUUUCUAUUUUUUUCAGUAAAUUUUUUUAUUUUUAUUUUGAUUAAAUAGCUAACUAUCGUUUUUCAGGCACCCAUCA
This is a non-coding RNA of Kogia breviceps (pygmy sperm whale), 1411 nucleotides long. Lineage: Eukaryota; Metazoa; Chordata; Mammalia; Artiodactyla; Physeteridae. The record is from RefSeq and is a predicted model, not a curated record.